This 441-nucleotide ribosomal RNA is filed under the name uncultured bacterium. RNAcentral describes it as "partial 16S ribosomal RNA". It matches the Rfam family "Bacterial small subunit ribosomal RNA", at positions 339 to 795 of the family's 1533-position model. The record is from RNAcentral.
CUACGGGUCGCUGCAGUGGGGAAUAUUGGGCAAUGGGCGCAAGCCUGACCCAGCAACGCCGCGUGAGGGAAGAAUGUCUUCGGAUUGUAAACCUCUGUCCCAUGGGACGAACAAAUGACGGUACCAUGGGAGGAAGCUCCGGCUAACUACGUGCCAGCAGCCGCGGUAAUACGUAGGGAGCGAGCGUUGUCCGGAAUUACUGGGCGUAAAGGGUGCGUAGGCGGCAUAAUAAGUCAGAUGUGAAAUACCCGGGCUCAACUCGGGGGGUGCAUUUGAAACUAUUAAGCUUGAGUACAGGAGAGGAAAGCGGAAUUCCUAGUGUAGCGGUGAAAUGCGUAGAUAUUAGGAGGAACACCAGUGGCGAAGGCGGCUUUCUGGACUGUCACUGACGCUGAGGCACGAAAGCGUGGGGAGCAAACAGGAUUAGAUACCCUGGUAGUC